RNAcentral lists this ribosomal RNA (449 nucleotides) under uncultured bacterium. RNAcentral's name for it is "partial 16S ribosomal RNA". It matches the Rfam family "Bacterial small subunit ribosomal RNA", at positions 329 to 792 of the family's 1533-position model. The record is from RNAcentral.
GACCAGACUCCUACGGGAGGCAGCCGUGGGGAAUAUUGGACAAUGGGGGGACCCCUGAUCCAGCGCCUCCUCGUGAGUGCAGCAGUAUUUCGGUCUGUCCAGCUCUAUCAUCAUGGAAGAAAGCCCUGACGGUACCUUACUCAGAAGCCCCUUCUCACUACGUUCCCUCAGCCGCGGUAAUACUUAUGGAGCAAUCGUUGUCCGGAUUGACUGGGUGUAAAGGGAGCGCAGGCGGCCUUGCAAGUCUGAUGGGAAAGGCCGGGGACCAACCCCGGGACUGCAUUGGAAACUGCGAGGCUGGAGUGUCGGAGAGGCAGGCGGAAUGCCUAGUGUAGCGGUGAAAUGCGUAGAUAUGAGGAGGAACACCAGUGGCGAAGGCGGCCUGCUGGACGAUGACUGACGCUGAGGCUCGAAAGCGUGGGGAGCAAACAGGAUUAGAUACCCCGGUA